UCCCUGGUGGUCCAGAGGUUAGGACUUGGCACUUUCACUGCCGAGGGCCCGGGUUCGAUCCCUGGCCAGGGAA
This 73-nucleotide transfer RNA is filed under the name Tursiops truncatus (common bottlenose dolphin). Its description in RNAcentral is "tRNA-Glu (TTC) (tRNA-Glu-TTC-17-1)". It matches the Rfam family "tRNA". From Rfam's summary of the family: Transfer RNA (tRNA) molecules are approximately 80 nucleotides in length. Their secondary structure includes four short double-helical elements and three loops (D, anti-codon, and T loops). Lineage: Eukaryota; Metazoa; Chordata; Mammalia; Artiodactyla; Delphinidae. The record is from Rfam by way of RNAcentral.